This 112-nucleotide ribosomal RNA is filed under the name Caerostris darwini. The record is from RNAcentral. Lineage: Eukaryota; Metazoa; Arthropoda; Arachnida; Araneae; Araneidae.
AACGGCCAUACCACGCUGAAUAUACCGGUUCUCGUUAGAUCACCGAAGUCAAGCAUCGUUGGGCGCGGUCAGUACUUGGGUGGGUGACCACCUGGGAACACCGCGUGCCGUU